GACGGGAGUAGACUAACAAGGAUUCCCCUAGUAACUGCGAGUGAAGCGGGAAAAGCUCAAAUUUAAAAUCUGGCGGUCUUUGGCCGUCCGAGUUGUAGUCUGGAGAAGUGCUUUCCGCGCUGGACCGUGUAUAAGUCUCUUGGAACAGAGCGUCAUAGAGGGUGAGAAUCCCGUCUUUGACACGGACUACCAGUGCUUUGUGAUGCGCUCUCAAAGAGUCGAGUUGUUUGGGAAUGCAGCUCAAAAUGGGUGGUGAAUUCCAUCUAAAGCUAAAUAUUGGCGAGAGACCGAUAGCGAACAAGUACCGUGAGGGAAAGAUGAAAAGCACUUUGGAAAGAGAGUUAAACAGUACGUGAAAUUGCUGAAAGGGAAACGCUUGAAGUCAGUCGCGUUGUCUGGGACUCAGCCUUGCUUUUGCUUGGUGCACUUUCCGGAUGACGGGCCAGCAUCGAUUUUGACCGUCGGAAAAGGGCUAGGGUAAUGUGGCACCUCCGGGUGUGUUAUAGACUUUAGUCGCAUACGGCGGUCGGGAUCGAGGAACGCAGCGCGCCGUAAGGCAGGGGUUCGCCCACUUUCGCGCUUAGGAUGCUGGCGUAAUGGCUUUAAACGACCCGUCUUGAAACACGGACCAAGGAGUCUAACAUACCUGCGAGUGUUUGGGUGGAAAACCCGAGCGCGUAAUGAAAGUGAAAGUUGAGACCUCUGUCGUGGAGGGCAUCGACGCCCGGACCUGACGUUCUCUGACGGAUCCGCGGUAGAGCAUGUAUGUUGGGACCCGAAAGAUGGUGAACUAUGCCUGAAUAGGGUGAAGCCAGAGGAAACUCUGGUGGAGGCUCGUAGCGAUUCUGACGUGCAAAUCGAUCGUCAAAUUUGGGUAUAGGGGCGAAAGACUAAUCGAACCAUCAGCUGGU
Molecule: ribosomal RNA, 911 nt
Filed under: Sanguinoderma leucomarginatum
Lineage: Eukaryota; Fungi; Basidiomycota; Agaricomycetes; Polyporales; Polyporaceae
Description: Sanguinoderma sp. YFS-2022a partial large subunit ribosomal RNA
Rfam family: Eukaryotic large subunit ribosomal RNA
Source: RNAcentral